This 252-nucleotide ribosomal RNA is filed under the name uncultured bacterium. Its description in RNAcentral is "partial 16S ribosomal RNA". It matches the Rfam family "Bacterial small subunit ribosomal RNA", at positions 524 to 776 of the family's 1533-position model. The record is from RNAcentral.
UACGGAGGAUGCGAGCGUUAUCCGGAUUUAUUGGGUUUAAAGGGUGCGUAGGCGGACGCUUAAGUCAGCGGUAAAAUUGCGGGGCUCAACCUCGUCGAGCCGUUGAAACUGGGUGCCUUGAGUGGGCGAGAAGUACGCGGAAUGCGUGGUGUAGCGGUGAAAUGCAUAGAUAUCACGCAGAACUCCGAUUGCGAAGGCAGCGUACCGGCGCCCAACUGACGCUGAAGCACGAAGGCGUGGGUAUCGAACGGG